UACGGAGGGUGCAAGCGUUAUCCGGAUUUACUGGGUUUAAAGGGUGCGCAGGCGGAUAUGUAAGUCAGUGGUGAAAUCUCCGGGCUUAACCCGGAAACUGCCGUUGAUACUAUAUAUCUUGAAUGCUGUGGAGGUAAGCAGAAUAUGUCAUGUAGCGGUGAAAUGCUUAGAGAUGACAUAGAACACCUAUUGCGAAGGCAGCUUACUACGCAGAUAUUGACGCUCAUGCACGAAAGCGUGGGGAUCAAACAGG
RNAcentral lists this ribosomal RNA (253 nucleotides) under uncultured bacterium. Its description in RNAcentral is "partial 16S ribosomal RNA". It matches the Rfam family "Bacterial small subunit ribosomal RNA", at positions 524 to 776 of the family's 1533-position model. The record is from RNAcentral.